CCUACGGGUGGCAGCAGUGAGGAAUAUUGGGCAAUGGAGGCAACUCUGACCCAGCCAUGCCGCGUGCGUGAAGACGGUUUUCGGAUUGUAAAGCUCCUUCUGAUGUGACGAUGAUGACGGUAGCAUCUAAAGAAGCCCCGGCUCACUUCGUGCCAGCAGCCGCGGUAAUACGACGGGGGCAAGCGUUGUUCGGAAUUACUGGGCGUAAAGGGAGUGUAGGCGGUUUAGUAAGAUAGUGGUGAAAUCACAGGGCUUAAAUUUGGAAUUGCCAUUAUAACUAUUAGUCUAGAAUGACAGAGAGGAAAGUGGAAUACCCAGUGUAGAGGUGAAAUUCGUAGAUAUUGGGUAGAACACCAGUGGCGAAGGCGACUAUCUGGCUGUACAUUGACGCUGAGGCUCGAAAGCAUGGGGAUCAAACAGGAUUAGAUACACGAGUAGUC
RNAcentral lists this ribosomal RNA (440 nucleotides) under uncultured bacterium. RNAcentral's name for it is "partial 16S ribosomal RNA". It matches the Rfam family "Bacterial small subunit ribosomal RNA", at positions 338 to 795 of the family's 1533-position model. The record is from RNAcentral.